UACAGGGGGUGCAAACGUUGCUCGGAAUUAUUGGGCGUAAAGCGCGCGCAGGCGGUUUCUUAAGUCUGAUGUGAAAGCCCACGGCUCAACCGUGGAGGGUCAUUGGAAACUGGGGAACUUGAGUGCAGAAGAGAAAAGCGGAAUUCCACGUGUAGCGGUGAAAUGCGUAGAGAUGUGGAGGAACACCAGUGGCGAAGGCGGCUUUUUGGUCUGUAACUGACGCUGAGGCGCGAAAGCGUGGGGAGCAAACAGG
This 253-nucleotide ribosomal RNA is filed under the name uncultured bacterium. Its description in RNAcentral is "partial 16S ribosomal RNA". It matches the Rfam family "Bacterial small subunit ribosomal RNA", at positions 524 to 776 of the family's 1533-position model. The record is from RNAcentral.